Molecule: ribosomal RNA, 567 nt
Filed under: uncultured Alcaligenes sp.
Lineage: Bacteria; Pseudomonadati; Pseudomonadota; Betaproteobacteria; Burkholderiales; Alcaligenaceae
Description: bacterial SSU rRNA
Rfam family: Bacterial small subunit ribosomal RNA
Source: RNAcentral
GAGUUUGAUCAUGGCUCAGAUUGAACGCUAGCGGGAUGCUUUACACAUGCAAGUCGAACGGCAGCGCGGACUUCGGUCUGGCGGCGAGUGGCGAACGGGUGAGUAAUGUAUCGGAACGUGCCCAGUAGCGGGGGAUAACUACUCGAAAGAGUAGCUAAUACCGCAUACGCCCUACGGGGGAAAGGGGGGAUCUUAGGACCUCUCACUAUUGGAGCGGCCGAUAUCGGAUUAGCUAGUUGGUGAGGCAAAGGCUCACCAAGGCGACGAUCCGUAGCUGGUUUGAGAGGACGACCAGCCACACUGGGACUGAGACACGGCCCAGACUCCUACGGGAGACAGCAGUGGGGAAUUUUGGACAAUGGGGGCAACCCUGAUCCAGCCAUCCCGCGUGUGCGAUGAAGGCCUUCGGGUUGUAAAGCACUUUUGGCAGGAAAGAAAUCGCACGGGCUAAUACCCUGUGUGGAUGACGGUACCUGCAGAAUAAGCACCGGCUAACUACGUGCCAGCAGCCGCGGUAAUACGUAGGGUGCAAGCGUUAAUCGGAAUUACUGGGCGUAAAGCGUGCGC